This 800-nucleotide ribosomal RNA is filed under the name Mermithidae sp. AS186MY01-1. RNAcentral's name for it is "LSU rRNA". It matches the Rfam family "Eukaryotic large subunit ribosomal RNA", at positions 367 to 944 of the family's 3401-position model. The record is from RNAcentral. Lineage: Eukaryota; Metazoa; Nematoda; Enoplea; Mermithida; Mermithidae.
AAAAGAACUUUGAAGAGAGAGUUCAAAAGGGCGUGAAACCGUUUAGAAGUAAACGGGUAAAGCCGCGAGAUAGCUGUAAAAAUCAAUCGAAGGACCGGGUAAUCGGUUUUCGGACUAUCGUCUUUGACGUCCGUUGGCCGAUUCGUCAAGGAACUCGUCUUUCUUCGACUCAUUUUUUACGGCGUACUAUCGCAACUGGAGCCAAUUCCGGCUGAAUGGCUGCGUUUGAAGACGAAACGAUUUUUUCGUCUCGCGACUAGACCGGCCAGGAAGCUGCGUAAUGGGCUCCGACCAACGUUUUCACUUGCGAUUAGCUCGCGUUACGUCGAGCUCGACUUGGCCGACUGGUUAGCCGAUUGAACUGUUGGUUCUUGCUCGCAGGGAUUGGCGAGGCUCGGUUGAUUAGUUCGGCGUGACUCGGUCGACUAUUAAAAUCGCAAUUGGUUAGCGAUAUUCGCAGCGGCGACUUACCCGACCCGUCUUGAAACACGGACCAAGGAGUCUAACAUAUGUGCGAGUUGGUAGGUUGAAAGAAACCUAAAGGCGAAAUAAAAGUAAAAGCUACGUCUCGUAGCCGAAAUACGAUCCCCGGUCUCUCGGGGCCGGGGCGAAGUAUUGUCCCAUCUGAGCGGUUCGUCCGCUAGGUGGAGAAAGAGCACAAAUGUUGGGACCCGAAAGAUGGUGAACUAUGCUUGAGCAGAACGAAGCCAGAGGAAACUCUGGUGGAGGUUCGUAGCGGUUCUGACGUGCAAAUCGAUCGUCAGACUUGAGUAUAGGGGCGAAAGACUAAUCGAACCAUC